CACAUCCAAAAGCCUGUGCUAGGCCUCUAUAGACUGCAAGAAAGUGUAUGAUAUAAGGUGGGAUUGGGCCAUAAAAAUCUAGCAGUUGCCCAUCCCUACCGUCAUCACAACCAAUGACAUCCAACUCCAUGAAAUCUUUCAUAACAAAGGAUUAAAUGCUCUUAAAUGCAAGUUGAAAUUGUAAUGCCAACUCCAUGGAUGGGCCUUUACAGGCAUUGACAACAAAACAAACAUAAUAAAGUA
This 243-nucleotide long non-coding RNA is filed under the name Elaeis guineensis (African oil palm). RNAcentral's name for it is "long non-coding RNA (EGUI_LNC051768)". Lineage: Eukaryota; Viridiplantae; Streptophyta; Magnoliopsida; Arecales; Arecaceae. The record is from RNAcentral.